RNAcentral lists this ribosomal RNA (706 nucleotides) under Weissella paramesenteroides. Its description in RNAcentral is "bacterial SSU rRNA". It matches the Rfam family "Bacterial small subunit ribosomal RNA", at positions 56 to 745 of the family's 1533-position model. The record is from RNAcentral. Lineage: Bacteria; Bacillati; Bacillota; Bacilli; Lactobacillales; Lactobacillaceae.
UGAUCUGACGAGCUUGCUCUGAUUUGAUUUUAUCUGACAAAGAGUGGCGAACGGGUGAGUAACACGUGGGUAACCUACCUCUUAGCAGGGGAUAACAUUUGGAAACAAGUGCUAAUACCGUAUAAUACCAACAACCGCAUGGUUGUUGGUUGAAAGAUGGUUCUGCUAUCACUAAGAGAUGGACCCGCGGUGCAUUAGCUAGUUGGUAAGGUAACGGCUUACCAAGGCAAUGAUGCAUAGCCGAGUUGAGAGACUGAUCGGCCACAAUGGGACUGAGACACGGCCCAUACUCCUACGGGAGGCAGCAGUAGGGAAUCUUCCACAAUGGGCGCAAGCCUGAUGGAGCAACGCCGCGUGUGUGAUGAAGGGUUUCGGCUCGUAAAACACUGUUAUAAGAGAAGAACGGCACUGAGAGUAACUGUUCAGUGUGUGACGGUAUCUUACCAGAAAGGAACGGCUAAAUACGUGCCAGCAGCCGCGGUAAUACGUAUGUUCCAAGCGUUAUCCGGAUUUAUUGGGCGUAAAGCGAGCGCAGACGGUUAUUUAAGUCUGAAGUGAAAGCCCUCAGCUCAACUGAGGAAUGGCUUUGGAAACUGGAUGACUUGAGUGCAGUAGAGGAAAGUGGAACUCCAUGUGUAGCGGUGAAAUGCGUAGAUAUAUGGAAGAACACCAGUGGCGAAGGCGGCUUUCUGGACUGUAACUGACG